This 114-nucleotide small RNA is filed under the name Mytilus galloprovincialis (Mediterranean mussel). Lineage: Eukaryota; Metazoa; Mollusca; Bivalvia; Mytilida; Mytilidae. The record is from RNAcentral.
GUUGGUUAUGGUGACAUGUACCCCGUGACCGCUUUGGGCUAUGUGAUUGGAUCGUUAACGGCUAUGUGCGGGUUGUUAAUGAUUGGAUUUUCAGUACCAAUUUUAGUUAAUAAU